GUGAGUCAUCGAAUCUUUGAACGCACAUUGCGCCCCCUGGUAUUCCGGGGGGCAUGCCUGUUCGAGCGUCAUUUCACCACUCAAGCCUCGCUUGGUAUUGGGCAACGCGGUCCGCCGCGUGCCUCAAAUCGACCGGCUGGGUCUUCUGUCCCCUAAGCGUUGUGGAAACUAUUCGCUAAAGGGUGUUCGGGAGGCUACGCCGUAAAACAACCCCAUUUCUAAGGUUGACCUCGGAUCAGGUAGGGAUACCCGCUGAACUUAAGCAUAUCAAUAAGCGGAGGA
Molecule: unclassified non-coding RNA, 282 nt
Filed under: Cladosporium sp.
Lineage: Eukaryota; Fungi; Ascomycota; Dothideomycetes; Cladosporiales; Cladosporiaceae
Also listed under: 3 other names
Description: partial contains 5.8S ribosomal RNA, internal transcribed spacer 2, and large subunit ribosomal RNA
Rfam family: 5.8S ribosomal RNA (bases 1-71)
Source: RNAcentral